Myotis daubentonii (Daubenton's bat) is the source of this 516-nucleotide non-coding RNA. The record is from the annotation of a RefSeq genome assembly. NCBI's taxonomy places the organism in Eukaryota, Metazoa, Chordata, Mammalia, Chiroptera, Vespertilionidae.
GCCCUGAAACUCUGGGACAGGAGUCCAGCCCAGGCAUCCCCAGGUUAACAUUCUCUGAUCAAGACUGAACACAGACCACUCACCAUGUGGUUUGUGUUCAGCUGGGUUUUCCUUGUGACUCUUUUAAGAGGUGUCCAAUGUGAGGUGCAGCUGGUGGAGUCUGGGGGAGGCUUGGUGCAGCCUGGGGGGUCUCAGAGACUCUCCUGUGCAGCCUCUGGAUUCACCUUCAGUAGUUACUGGAUGCAGUGGGUCCGUCAGGCUCCAGGGAAGGGGCUAGAGUGGCUUGGUGAAAUUAAAACUGAUGGGAGUAUCACCAACUAUGACACCUCUAUAAAAGGCCGAUUCACCAUCUCCAGAGAUAAUGCCAAGAACAUGCUGUAUCUGCAAAUGAACAGCCUGAGAGCUGAGGACACAGCUGUGUAUUACUGUUCAAAAGACACAUUCCCCUCAGGGAACCUCUGGAUUCCUGAUUCUGUGCUCACCUCUGACGUCUCCGAGGUAGAAAGUCUGUUGUAA